ACGAACGCUGGCGGCGUGCUUAACACAUGCAAGUCGAACGGAAAGGCCCUGCUUUUGUGGGGUGCUCGAGUGGCGAACGGGUGAGUAACACGUGAGUAACCUGCCCUUGACUUUGGGAUAACUUCAGGAAACUGGGGCUAAUACCGGAUAGGAGCCCCUGCUGCAUGGUGGGGGUUGGAAAGUUUCGGCGGUUGGGGAUGGACUCGCGGCUUAUCAGCUUGUUGGUGGGGUAGUGGCUUACCAAGGCUUUGACGGGUAGCCGGCCUGAGAGGGUGACCGGCCACAUUGGGACUGAGAUACGGCCCAGACCCCUACGGGAGGCAGCAGUGGGGAAUAUUGCACAAUGGGCGGAAGCCUGAUGCAGCAACGCCGCGUGCGGGAUGACGGCCUUCGGGUUGUAAACCGCUUUCGCCUGUGACGAAGCGUGAGUGACGGUAAUGGGUAAAGAAGCACCGGCUAACUACGUG
Molecule: ribosomal RNA, 467 nt
Filed under: uncultured bacterium
Lineage: Bacteria
Description: partial 16S ribosomal RNA
Rfam family: Bacterial small subunit ribosomal RNA
Source: RNAcentral